UGCCAGCAGCCGCGGUAAUACGGAGGGUGCAAGCGUUGUUCGGAAUUACUGGGCGUAAAGCGCGUGUAGGCGGCUAGGUAAGUCGGAUGUGAAAGCCCGGGGCUCAACCCCGGAACUGCAUCCGAAACUGCUUGGCUAGAGUCCCGGAGAGGAAGGCAGAAUUCCCAGUGUAGGGGUGAAAUCCGUAGAUAUUGGGAGGAAUACCAGUGGCGAAGGCGGCCUUCUGGACGGUGACUGACGCUCAGACGCGAAAGCGUGGGUAGCAAACAGGAUUAGAUA
RNAcentral lists this ribosomal RNA (279 nucleotides) under uncultured bacterium. Its description in RNAcentral is "partial 16S ribosomal RNA". It matches the Rfam family "Bacterial small subunit ribosomal RNA", at positions 506 to 784 of the family's 1533-position model. The record is from RNAcentral.